AUUUUAAACAAAGGAAAAUGAUGCGAUGAAAGAGUUGGAGAUGAACAAAAAGCUCUAUGUGAGGCUCAAUUUGAAGAGAUCUCUUAUGGCAUAGAUACUGAUGAGGUUAUUGUCGGUAGCAUUGGAUAAUGAAGGAAAAAAAGAAUUUUUUUUUUCACUUUUAUAAUUCUUUAUAUGCAAAUUUUUUUUCUAAUAGAAAUCACAAAUAUAAGGCUCUUUGAUAUUAUAAUUUAUAAUAUAUAUUCUGCAAGC
Long non-coding RNA from Gordionus sp. m RMFG-2023, 252 nucleotides. RefSeq lists it as uncharacterized. The record is from RefSeq and is a predicted model, not a curated record. The transcript is spliced from 3 exons. NCBI's taxonomy places the organism in Eukaryota, Metazoa, Nematomorpha, Gordioida, Chordodea, Parachordodidae.